CGAUACUUGGUGUGAAUUGCAGAAUUCAGUGAAUCAUCGAAUCUUUGAACGCACAUUGCGCCCGCCAGCAUUCUGGCGGCAUGCCUGUUCGAGCGUCAUUUCAACCCUCGAGCUCGUCUUCAUUGACGAGAUCGGUGUUGAGACCCGGCGAGCGAGGACGCAGUCCUCUGCCGGUCUCGAAAUUCAGUGGCGGCCCGUUGCGGCGACCUCUGCGUAGUAACUCAACCUCGCACUGGGACAGCAUCGCGGCCACGCCGUAAAACCCCCGACUUUUUUAAGGUUGACCUCGAAUCAGGUAGGACUACCCGCUGAACUUAA
RNAcentral lists this ribosomal RNA (318 nucleotides) under Simplicillium sp. BAB-4020. Its description in RNAcentral is "eukaryotic LSU rRNA". The stretch from base 1 to 98 matches the Rfam family "5.8S ribosomal RNA", at positions 56 to 154 of the family's 154-position model. The record is from RNAcentral. Lineage: Eukaryota; Fungi; Ascomycota; Sordariomycetes; Hypocreales; Cordycipitaceae.